This 72-nucleotide transfer RNA is filed under the name Benthonectes filipes. Its description in RNAcentral is "tRNA-Val". The record is from RNAcentral. Lineage: Eukaryota; Metazoa; Arthropoda; Malacostraca; Decapoda; Benthesicymidae.
CAAGAUAGAGCUUGAGGAGUUAAGCAUCUCACUUACGUUGAGAAGUUCGUCGUGCAAAUCGAUGUUUCUUGA